AUCAAGUCCUGUCACCAAAAAGCCUGGAGAAACUUUGAAUCUCUCGUGUAAAGGAUCUGGAUUUGAUUUUGGACAGUACGGCAUGCACUGGAUCAGACAGUCAGCAGGACAAAUAUUUAUCUGGAUGGGGGUUAUCUGUUUUAAGAUGAAGAGAAGCAGCUUGUUCUCACUCGUCUCAAACCAUGAUCUCUUCAUCUCUCUGGUUGUUGCUGCUGCUGGCAGCUGUUUCUCGUGUUCACUGUGUUGAACUGAUCCAGACUGAUUCUAUGGUCUUAAGUCCUGGUCAGGUUUUGACACUGUCCUGUAAACUCUCUGGAUAUACAGUGACUGACAGCUACUGCACUGGCUUCAUUCGGCAGCCUGCAGGAAAAGCUCUGGAAUGGGUUGGGAUGAUAUGUAGUAGUGGUGGUAGCACAUAUUACAGUGAUAAACUGAAAAGUAGAUUUCAAGUCACCAGAGAUUCUUCCAGCAACACAGUGACUCUUCAAGGACAGAAUAUGUAGACUGAGGACACAUCUGU
Non-coding RNA from Carassius carassius (crucian carp), 520 nucleotides. NCBI's taxonomy places the organism in Eukaryota, Metazoa, Chordata, Actinopteri, Cypriniformes, Cyprinidae. The record is from the annotation of a RefSeq genome assembly.